UACGGGGGGGGCAAGCGUUGUUCGGAAUUACUGGGCGUAAAGGGCUCGUAGGCGGCCAACUAAGUCAUACGUGAAAUCCCCCGGCUUAACCGGGGAACUGCGUCUGAUACUGGAUGGCUUGAGUUCGGGAGAGGGAUGCGGAAUUCCAGGUGUAGCGGUGAAAUGCGUAGAUAUCUGGAGGAACACCGGUGGCGAAGGCGGCAUCCUGGACCGAUACUGACGCUGAGGAGCGAAAGCCAGGAGAGCAAACGGG
RNAcentral lists this ribosomal RNA (253 nucleotides) under uncultured bacterium. RNAcentral's name for it is "partial 16S ribosomal RNA". It matches the Rfam family "Bacterial small subunit ribosomal RNA", at positions 524 to 776 of the family's 1533-position model. The record is from RNAcentral.